AGAGUUUGAUCAUGGCUCAGGACGAACGCUGGCGGCGUGCUUAACACAUGCAAGUCUACUUGAACGCCCUGCUUGCAGGGAACUAUGGUGGCGAACGGGUGAGUAACGCGUAGACAAUCUGCCCCUUUCAGUGGGAUAAUCUCGGGAAACUGGGUCUAAUACCACAUAACAUCUCUUUUUGGCAUCAUUAAGAGAUUAAAGAUUUCGAAUCGGUGAGGGAUGAGUCUGCGUACCAUUAGCUAGUUGGUGGGGUAAUGGCCUACCAAGGCAACGAUGGUUAGCUGGUCUGAGAGGAUGAUCAGCCACACUGGGACUGAGAUACGGCCCAGACUCCUACGGGAGGCAGCAGUGAGGAAUAUUGCACAAUGGGGGCAACCCUGAUGCAGCAACGCCGCGUGUACGAUGAAUCAGUUUAUCUGUGUAAAGUACUGUUAAUUGGGACGAAUUAUAGGGUUUGUAGCCUUAUUUGACUGUACCAGUAGGGGAAGCUCCGGCUAACUCCGUGCCAGCAGCCGCGGUAAUACGGGGGGAGCGAGCGUUGUCCGGAUUUAUUGGGCGUAAAGGGUAUGUAGGUGGAAAGAUCAGUCAGUUGUUAAACGAUGCGGCUCAACCGCAUUUUGCAAUUGAUACUUUCUUUCUUGAGUACGAGAGGGGACGGUGGAAUAUUUAGUGUAGCGGUGGAAUGCGUAGAUAUUAAAUAGAACACCUGAGGCGAAGGCGACUGUCUGGCUCGUAACUGACACUGAAAUACGAAAGUAUGGGUAGCAAACAGGAUUAGAUACCCUGGUAGUCCAUACCGUAAACGAUGGAUACUAGGUGUCGGA
Molecule: ribosomal RNA, 824 nt
Filed under: uncultured bacterium
Lineage: Bacteria
Description: bacterial SSU rRNA
Rfam family: Bacterial small subunit ribosomal RNA
Source: RNAcentral